UACAGAGGUCCCAAGCGUUGUUCGGAUUAACUGGGCGUAAAGGGUGCGUAGGCGGUCGGGUAAGUCUGACGUGAAAUCUCCGGGCCUAACCCGGAAACUGCGUUGGAUACUAUCCGGCUAGAGGAAUGGAGGGGAGACUGGAAUACUUGGUGUAGCAGUGAAAUGCGUAGAUAUCAAGUGGAACACCAGUGGCGAAGGCGAGUCUCUGGACAGUUCCUGACGCUGAGGCACGAAGGUCAGGGGAGCAAACGGG
Molecule: ribosomal RNA, 253 nt
Filed under: uncultured bacterium
Lineage: Bacteria
Description: partial 16S ribosomal RNA
Rfam family: Bacterial small subunit ribosomal RNA
Source: RNAcentral